UUCAAUUGAUAUGGCUCAGUCUGUAGAGCAUGAGACUCUUAAUCUUAUGGUCAUGGGUUUGAGCCCCAUGUUGGGUGAAA
Podarcis lilfordi (Lilford's wall lizard) is the source of this 80-nucleotide non-coding RNA. NCBI's taxonomy places the organism in Eukaryota, Metazoa, Chordata, Lepidosauria, Squamata, Lacertidae. The record is from the annotation of a GenBank genome assembly.